AUACGUAGGGGGCGAGCGUUGUCCGGAAUGAUUGGGCGUAAAGGGCGCGUAGGCGGCGCGGUAAGUCUGGAGUGAAAGUCCUGCUUUCAAGGUGGGAAUUGCUUUGGAUACUGCCGCGCUUGAGUGCAGGAGAGGUUAUCGGAAUUCCCGGUGUAGCGGUGAAAUGCGUAGAGAUCGGGAGGAACACCAGUGGCGAAGGCGGGUAACUGGACUGCAACUGACGCUGAGGCGCGAAAGUGUGGGGAGCAAACAGGAUUAGAUACCCUGGUAGUCCAUGCUGUAAACGAUGAUUACUAGGUGUGGGAGGUAUCGACCCCUUCCGUGCCGCAGUUAACACAAUAAGUAAUCCACCUGGGGAGUACGGCCGCAAGGUUGAAACUCAAAUGAAUUGGCGGGG
This 397-nucleotide ribosomal RNA is filed under the name uncultured bacterium. Its description in RNAcentral is "partial 16S ribosomal RNA". It matches the Rfam family "Bacterial small subunit ribosomal RNA", at positions 523 to 918 of the family's 1533-position model. The record is from RNAcentral.